Non-coding RNA from Zonotrichia albicollis (white-throated sparrow), 1616 nucleotides. Lineage: Eukaryota; Metazoa; Chordata; Aves; Passeriformes; Passerellidae. The record is from RefSeq and is a predicted model, not a curated record.
AUAAUGUUACCAAAGAAUACAGCAUACAGCAGAGAUUGCUGUCCUACAACAGCCUCUUAAUCAUGUCUGUAAGAGAUUCACAUGGUGUUGUCAAGUGUUUUUACAUCAGGAGCCCUGGAGCUGGACUUUUGGACUAUUUUUGCACUUGUUUGAGACUCUGACCUUCUGCAGUUGGUAUACCCAUGUGUUUGUGUACAAUGGUUCCCAAGUUUUUUGCUCAGUUAUUCUCCCAAAUUCCACUCUGAAGAAGGACUCCAGGGGAGAGAAAGAAAAAUACAGGGCUCAGGAGAGAAUGCCUCCAACUCCAUUAUGUGUAUGGAAAACUAUAUGAAGCCCCAUUAUCGCUACAAAGAAUCACAAUAGGGAAGGGGAAGAGUUGGAUUAAUUCAGCAGGCCUUGAAUCAAACUUUUCAGUUCUGUGGGACUUGGAACACAAGCUGAGCCCUUCAUCUGUCUGCACUUUGAGUGCAACUUCUUUUUGCUGCUCUCAUUGCUGCUAUUGAAACAACUGCUUCAGGACAAGCUGAGUUACCUUACUCCAGCUGCAACACUUUAUGGUUGCUAGCACCAUAAACAAAAAUAACUUAGAAAAUAACAGAUAAGUAAUAUUCAGGAAGAAUGGACUUUCUUGUAGUGCUUAUCCUGCUGUGAAACUCAAACCAAUAACAAAUAUAGGCUGGAGUGGUCUAAAACUUGCAAGUGACUCAAAUCAAAUGCCUCUUGUCUUAUCUCCUUUAACCACAGCCAUGAGGCAUGCAGCCCUUUGGAAAGCUCUCAAGUGGAAUUUCCCUUUCCAGCUUAAAUUUCCCGAGACUUGGGGUAAUGGGAAACUUUCUAUUGGCCUCCCUUCUGGAAACUAAAUAUAGAAAGACUGUUUAAGAUAAAAGGCUGUAGUCAGAUCAUGUGAGGACAGUGGUGUACAUUUCUUGCAUUUCAAGACGCCCUGUGAAAACACUGACUCAUCAAUGGUCAUUAUUCUCAUGGUGAGUGUUUCCCUUCAAUAUUUUGGCUGUUACAUGCACAAUUUUGGCAUCAUUUAAGCUUCUUUCAUAUGCCUAGGUAUUCUAAGUGUUGGUACCUCUGUCAGUGAGGUCACCUCUACAGUAAAGAAAAAAGGCCACCAGUUACUGUCAGAUCUGUAACCUCCCUGUCAACAUCAGAAAUAGAAAAUCCGGCCAAUAAUUACAGAGAGAGCUCUGCAGCUUGCCAGCAACGUUUGCUGGAUCUGGACUACAAAAGUAAACGCUCUGCAUGUGUGUUCAGCUUGUCCUCCGUGUAGCUGCUAGAUUCCAUGACAGUCUUAAGGCAAAGACAGCUCAAACAGGCAGUGAGCUAAAUGGAAGCAUUUGCUGGGCUGCUGCUGUGCAAGGGAAGUGUCCACACAGCUGCUUAGAGGGGUGGCUGUACAGGCAGACCCAAGAAAAGUGCACUGAUACACCCAGUCUGUUCCACUUAGAACAUUGUCUGCAGAUUCCUGAUGAGCAGAAGGUUCACUGCAAAGAGCAAGAUAUAAAGGGGUGUAUGGAAAUGCAGUGCCAUCUAAAAUAUAGCCUGGGGUUUUUUUAAAUACUCAUAUGGUAUGCUUUGGCUCUUUUAAUUCAUAACAAUUGUUAUUA